RNAcentral lists this ribosomal RNA (412 nucleotides) under uncultured bacterium. Its description in RNAcentral is "bacterial SSU rRNA". It matches the Rfam family "Bacterial small subunit ribosomal RNA", at positions 29 to 428 of the family's 1533-position model. The record is from RNAcentral.
AAUCAACGCUGGCGGCGUGCCUAACACAUGCAAGUCGAGCGGGAAAGGGGGCUUCGGCCCCUGAGUAUAGCGGCGGACGGGUGAGUAACACGUGGGUAAUUUGCCCUUGGGUGUGGAAUAACUCAGGGAAACUUGAGCUAAUACCGCAUGACAUCCCCUUCACACACGAGUCGGGGAUCAAAGCCGGGGACCCUUCGGGGCCUGGCGCCUGAGGAGAAGCCCGCGCCCGAUUAGCUAGUUGGGAGGUAAUGGCUCACCAAGGCUUCGAUCGGUAGCCGGCCUGAGAGGGCGGACGGCCACACUGGGACUGAGACACGGCCCAGACUCCUACGGGAGGCAGCAGUGGGGAAUUUUGUCAAUGGGGGAAACCCUGAACAAGCAACGCCGCGUGGAGGACGACGACCUGGUGUAA